Molecule: ribosomal RNA, 907 nt
Filed under: Pseudamia amblyuroptera (white-jawed cardinalfish)
Lineage: Eukaryota; Metazoa; Chordata; Actinopteri; Kurtiformes; Apogonidae
Description: partial 16S ribosomal RNA
Rfam family: Bacterial large subunit ribosomal RNA (bases 195-701)
Source: RNAcentral
AGCCCAACAGCUAGCUGAUAUCCUAAAAACAACAAAUCAAACAUUAAUAACCCAGAACAAAGACACAAAACCAAAACAAACCAUUUUUCCAUCCUAGUACGGGAGACAGAAAAGAAUAAAAUAAGCAAUAGAAAAAGUACCGCAAGGGAAAGCUGAAAGAGAAAUGAAACAACCAAGUAAAGCAAAACAAAGCAGAGACUAGCCCUCGUACCUUUUGCAUCAUGAUUUAGCAAGUAAACCCAAGCAAAGAGCCCUUUAGUUUGCCGCCCCGAAACUAAGUGAGCUACUCCAAGACAGCCAAAAAAUAUGGGCGAACCCGUCUCUGUGGCAAAAGAGUGGGAAGAGCUUUGAGUAGAGGUGACAAACCUACCGAACCUAGUUAUAGCUGGUUGCCAGGGAACCGAAUAGGAGUUCGACCUUUUAUUCUUCUUAACCCACCAACGAAUUUCAAAACCACCGACAAAAGAAGACAAAAGAGCUAGUCAAAGAGGGUACAGCCCCUUUGAAAAAAGACACAACUUUAACAGAAGGCUAAAGAUCAUAAACACCAAGGAAAAAUGUUUCAGUGGGCCUAAAAGCAGCCACCUGUGCAGAAAGCGUUACAGCUCAAACAAGACCUAACCCUUUAUACCGAAAAAGAAUCUUACGCCACUAAAACAACCAGGCCACCCCAUGCACCCCAUUGGGGAGAUCAUGCUAAUAUGAGUAAUAAGAGGGAAUAGAUUAUGCCCCUCUCCUAAUGCAAGUGUACAUCGGAACGAACAAACACCGAAAACUAACGAGCCCAAUAAAAGAGGGCAUUGGACAACCAACAAAAAACACGAGAAAUGAGUCCUAAAAUAAGCCGUUAACCCCACACUGGCGCAUAUAUCAAGGAAAGACUAAAAGAAAAAGAAGGAACUCGGCA